CGCGAGCCACCACGAAAGUUGCCGCGCGCGGUGACGUCAUCACGCACUCGCGAGCCACCACGAAAGUUGCCGUGCGUGGUGACGUCAUCACGCACUCGUGAGCCACCACGAAAGUUGCCGUGCGCGGUGACGUCAUCACGCACCGAGCCCAUUGCCGCCAAAACUCCUCCCGCCGCGCGUUUCGUCAUGGGCGACGGUUGUUUCUCAGUCGUGACAUCACAAACAGUGUGGAGGAGACAGGAGUUGAACUUGGAUGAGGGCUGCAGUGUUGCUGACGCCAGUGAGAAAAACCACGGAGUUUUCACUUUUCCAAUGUUCAGAAAAAAACGUGACGAUGUUCAGUUGCCACAAAAAGUGAUUUCUGGACAGGUGCUGGAUACAUGUACAGAUGGUGCACUGAACGUCGAUUCACUUUCAAAUAGACGCUUCACGUUUUCCAUGAACCCACACGAUUUGCCUCAUCCAAGCAAAAUUAUGGGUCGCCGGAGCAGCCGUAAAAAAUCUGCAAUGACCUCGAAUAACACUUUGGGGCACAAAUACGAUGGGUCAAUGCAGACUCCGUUUGCAGAUCUCAAGAGCAAGCAGGCACAGCUGGAUACGAUACAAAUAACUCCCUGCCUUCCUGUUAAUGCAACCAACACUGAGGAUGGAAAUAAUGACAAGGCUAAACUGUGGAGCUUCAUGAUGAACAGGGAUGGUACGGCACAGGAUAAUGGUGCAAUUGCCGAGCAAGACCACCGGACAGCAGCCACGAUGCCGAGUAAGCAGUUCAAAUGGUGUGCGCAUGGUAAACCUUUCAAUGGAGAGAGUACUAUUUGGUGUGAAGUGGAGAGAAGUCCGCCUUUCGUGGAGGCAAGGCCGACACGUCAGCCUCAUUCCAUGGAAUCCUUCCUCGCAGCCAAUAUGUAUAGCAGGGUUGAGGAGUAAAACACCAUGAUUCAGCUCUCUCCAGUACCGAACACAGCUGUAAGACCAAUCAUAAGUUGGCGUAUUGCCUAAGUGUUUAUACCUGGUUACCUUGAUUUAUUGUAUGGUAAUUAUGCACUUAGUAAGGGUACUUUGUUUUUUAAAGUGAACCAACUGAAAUUAGUUACCAGUGUUCCUCAUUGUAUUGGAGAGUAGUUACACUUGAUGCUUUCCUUUUGUUGUUUACUUAAUAUGUAUAUUUAUGAGCUUGUGAUGCACUUAGAGGUGGUACAGUAAGAUAUGGCGAUAUGAUGAAAAUGUGACUAUGAAACAGGUUCCCAUGCAGCAAUGUUAUCCAAACUCCUUCGCAUGACACAUAAGUACAUGAACUGCACACAAGUGCUUAUAUGGUGAGUUUUAUUUAUUUAUUUAAAAAGUAUUCUACAUAUUUAUACACAUUUAGUAACUUAACUCAUUCACUGCAUUGUAAAGGUGUGAACAUUUAAAAAUGAAUACAUGACUUAACUUAUUUUUAUAAAAAAUGAGUACCAAAAAUGUAAAAUUUUAAGUUGAAGAAAAUACCAUAUUGAAAUACAUUACAUUCACAUCUGUCAUGCCAAUACAGAAUUACAGGUGCUGUACAAUAGAAUAUAUAAAAUAAGUGUUCUGAUUUACUGCACGUUAAAUAGUUUUGGAAAAUGUUUAACUCUACUCAACUUUACAGUUAUAAAUUCAUUUCUGCAGACAUUUUAAAUGAAUUCAGAUAUGAAAAAAAGAAGAAAAAAUUAAAAACUUUAACAAACAUUAACAAUUUCACUUGUUAUUUGUGCACAGAGAACACAAUUGAAAGUGUGUUCAAACAGGCGUAUGCCAAACAUUUGCCAUGUAUGUGUAAUCUUGGGUAUAGUACAUGAAUACCCAAUGUGUGAAGCAGGACUCGACACUUAAAAUCUGUCAUUCUAUGAGCCAUUCAAUUAUAGUGUAAAAUCAAAUGUGAAGUUUAUCAGCAUUCCAAAACAUUUCUACCAUUUAUAAAGCAACACAAUUAAACCCACUCUUGAGAAGCAAAGCUCUGCUAUGUAGCAGUCAAUUACAUGAAAGGAUGUCACUGUUAUUUUGAGUUAUAUAUCCACACGUGAAUAAAGCUUUAAAAGUU
Lethenteron reissneri (Far Eastern brook lamprey) is the source of this 2062-nucleotide long non-coding RNA. RefSeq lists it as uncharacterized. The record is from RefSeq and is a predicted model, not a curated record. NCBI's taxonomy places the organism in Eukaryota, Metazoa, Chordata, Hyperoartia, Petromyzontiformes, Petromyzontidae.